GUCUACGGCCAUACCACCUGAACGUGCCCAAUCUCGCCUGAUCUUGGAAGCUCAGCAGGGUCAGGCCUGCUUAGUACUUGGAUGGGAGAACACACGAGGCUCACACACGCUGCUGCCC
Molecule: ribosomal RNA, 118 nt
Filed under: Octodon degus (degu)
Lineage: Eukaryota; Metazoa; Chordata; Mammalia; Rodentia; Octodontidae
Source: RNAcentral